GCUGGGGUGGUGGAAUUGGCAGACACGCUAGGCUAAGGACCUAGUGCCGUUAAUCCGGCGUGCGGGUUCAAGUCCCGCCUCCAGCACCA
Molecule: transfer RNA, 89 nt
Filed under: Candidatus Hydrogenedentota bacterium
Lineage: Bacteria; Pseudomonadati; Candidatus Hydrogenedentota
Description: tRNA-Leu
Rfam family: tRNA
About the family: Transfer RNA (tRNA) molecules are approximately 80 nucleotides in length. Their secondary structure includes four short double-helical elements and three loops (D, anti-codon, and T loops).
Source: RNAcentral